This 75-nucleotide transfer RNA is filed under the name Ktedonobacter sp. RNAcentral's name for it is "tRNA-Lys". It matches the Rfam family "tRNA". Rfam says of the family: Transfer RNA (tRNA) molecules are approximately 80 nucleotides in length. Their secondary structure includes four short double-helical elements and three loops (D, anti-codon, and T loops). Further hydrogen bonds mediate the characteristic L-shaped molecular structure. tRNAs have two regions of fundamental functional importance: the anti-codon, which is responsible for specific mRNA codon recognition, and the 3' end, to which the tRNAs corresponding amino acid is attached (by aminoacyl-tRNA synthetases). tRNAs cope with the degeneracy of the genetic code in two manners: having more than one tRNA (with a specific anti-codon) for a particular amino acid; and 'wobble' base-pairing, i.e. permitting non-standard base-pairing at the 3rd anti-codon position. Lineage: Bacteria; Bacillati; Chloroflexota; Ktedonobacteria; Ktedonobacterales; Ktedonobacteraceae. The record is from RNAcentral.
GGGCAACUAGCUCAAUGGCAGAGCAUGCGACUCUUAAUCGCCAGGUUCAGGGUUCGACUCCCUGGUUGCCCACCC